RNAcentral lists this ribosomal RNA (450 nucleotides) under uncultured bacterium. RNAcentral's name for it is "bacterial SSU rRNA". It matches the Rfam family "Bacterial small subunit ribosomal RNA", at positions 355 to 825 of the family's 1533-position model. The record is from RNAcentral.
UCGAGAAUCUUCCACAAUGGACGAAAGUCUGAUGGAGCGACGUCGCGUGAUGGACGAAGUGCUUCGGCACGUAAACAUCUUUUAUGUGGGACGAAAUUAUUGACGGUACCACAUGAAUAAGGGGCUCCUAACUCUGUGCCAGCAGGAGCGGUAAUACAGAGGCCCCAAGCGUUAUCCGGAAUCAUUGGGCGUAAAGGGUGUCGAGGCGGUCGUAUUAGUCGUUUGUAAAAUCCGUGGGCUCAACCUACGGUCAGCAGGCGAAACGGUACGACUUGAGGUUUGGAGAGGUGCGUGGAACUCACGGUGUAGGGGUGAAAUCCGUUGAUAUCGUGGGGAACACCAAAGGCGAAGGCAGCGCACUGGCCAAAAUCUGACGCUCACACACGAAAGCUAGGGUAGCGAACGGGAUUAGAUACCCGCGUAGUCCCUGAGCGGGCUGGCAAGGCGCAU